CCUGGUGGCUCAGAGGGUAAAGCGUCUGCCUGCAAUGCAGGAGACCCGGGUUCGAUUCCUGGGUCAGGA
Molecule: transfer RNA, 69 nt
Filed under: Capra hircus (goat)
Lineage: Eukaryota; Metazoa; Chordata; Mammalia; Artiodactyla; Bovidae
Also listed under: 2 other names
Rfam family: tRNA
About the family: Transfer RNA (tRNA) molecules are approximately 80 nucleotides in length.
Source: Rfam by way of RNAcentral